AGUGACCAAUUUGGAAAGGACAAAGGAAUGAACACUGAAUUUUAGGAGGAACUCAGAAGAGCAGAGAAGCCCACCUUAAUGAGAUAUUCAGAUACAUCCACUUAUGUUAAUCAUAAAAUCAAACAAAAGGGAAGGUGCUGUUUGCUUGUCUACCAUUUUGAGAAGCCUCUCAAAAUCUUGACUUUUUUUAAAGUUGCUUUAGCUCGAGAGAUUUAUAAACCAUGCCAUUUAGCUGUGCUUCCUUACCAAGUUCCAUUGUAAUACCAACAGGAAACAGAAUAAAUUGUUUCCAAGUAACA
This 299-nucleotide long non-coding RNA is filed under the name Anas platyrhynchos platyrhynchos (common mallard). RNAcentral's name for it is "lncRNA (ENSAPLG00000021592.1)". The record is from RNAcentral. Lineage: Eukaryota; Metazoa; Chordata; Aves; Anseriformes; Anatidae.